GAUGAAGAACGUAGCGAAAUGCGAUAAGUAAUGUGAAUUGCAGAAUUCAGUGAAUCAUCGAAUCUUUGAACGCACAUUGCGCCCGCCAGUACUCUGGCGGGCAUGCCUGUUCGAGCGUCAUUUCAACCAUCAAGCCCCCGGGCUUGUGUUGGGGACCUGCGGCUGCCGCAGGCCCUGAAAACCAGUGGCGGGCUCGCUAGUCACUCCGAGCGUAGUAGUUACAUCUCGCUCAGGGCGUGCUGCGGGUUCCGGCCGUUAAAAGCCUUUUACCCCAAGGUUGACCUCGGAUCAGGUAGGAAGACCCGCUGAACUUAAGCAUAUCAAUAAGCGGAGGA
RNAcentral lists this unclassified non-coding RNA (335 nucleotides) under soil metagenome. RNAcentral's name for it is "partial contains 5.8S ribosomal RNA, internal transcribed spacer 2, and large subunit ribosomal RNA". The stretch from base 1 to 120 matches the Rfam family "5.8S ribosomal RNA", at positions 35 to 154 of the family's 154-position model. The record is from RNAcentral.